CAGGUCCGGCCGGGCCUUACACAUGCAAGUCGAACGAUGAAGGUUGGUGCUUGCACCGACUGGAUUAGUGGCGAACGGGUGAGUAAUACGUGAGUAACCUGCCUUUGACUCUGGGAUAAGCCUUGGAAACGAGGUCUAAUACCGGAUAUGACACAGUUUCGCAUGAAAUCUGUGUGGAAAGGGUUUGUACUGGUUUUAGAUGGGCUCACGGCCUAUCAGCUUGUUGGUGAGGUAAUGGCUCACCAAGGCGACGACGGGUAGCCGGCCUGAGAGGGUGACCGGCCACACUGGGACUGAGACACGGCCCAGACUCCUACGGGAGGCAGCAGUGGGGAAUAUUGCACAAUGGGCGCAAGCCUGAUGCAGCGACGCCGCGUGAGGGAUGACGGCCUUCGGGUUGUAAACCUCUUUCAGCAGGGGAGAAGCGAAAGUGACGGUACCUGCAGAAGAAGCGCCGGCUAACUACGUGCCAGCAGCCGCGGUAAUACGUAGGGCGCGAGCGUUGUCCGGAAUUAUUGGGCGUAAAGAGCUUGUAGGCGGUUUGUCGCGUCUGCUGUGAAAGCCCGGGGCUUAACCCCGGGUUUGCAGUGGGUACGGGCUAACUAGAGUGCAGUAGGGGAGACUGGAAUUCCUGGUGUAGCGGUGGAAUGCGCAGAUAUCAGGAGGAACACCGAUGGCGAAGGCAGGUCUCUGGGCUGUAACUGACGCUGAGAAGCGAAAGCAUGGGGGAGCGAA
RNAcentral lists this ribosomal RNA (735 nucleotides) under Rothia sp. BP. RNAcentral's name for it is "bacterial SSU rRNA". It matches the Rfam family "Bacterial small subunit ribosomal RNA", at positions 33 to 772 of the family's 1533-position model. Lineage: Bacteria; Bacillati; Actinomycetota; Actinomycetes; Micrococcales; Micrococcaceae. The record is from RNAcentral.